GCGGGAGUAGUUCAGUGGCAGAACGGUAGCUUCCCAAGCUACUAGCGGCGGUUCUAUUCCGCUCUCCCGCU
Molecule: transfer RNA, 71 nt
Filed under: Candidatus Omnitrophota bacterium
Lineage: Bacteria; Pseudomonadati; Candidatus Omnitrophota
Description: tRNA-Gly
Rfam family: tRNA
About the family: Transfer RNA (tRNA) molecules are approximately 80 nucleotides in length.
Source: RNAcentral